This 315-nucleotide ribosomal RNA is filed under the name uncultured eukaryote. Its description in RNAcentral is "partial 18S ribosomal RNA". It matches the Rfam family "Eukaryotic small subunit ribosomal RNA", at positions 1470 to 1796 of the family's 1831-position model. The record is from RNAcentral.
CCCUUAGACGUUCUGGGCCGCACGCGCGCUACACUGACCAGUGCAACAAGCAUCCGUCCUUGGCCGACAGACCCGGGCAAUCUUUGAACGCUGGUCGUGAUGGGGAUAGACUUUUGCAAUUUUUGGUCUUCAACGAGGAAUUCCUAGUAAACGCAAGUCAUCAACUUGCAUUGAUUACGUCCCUGCCCUUUGUACACACCGCCCGUCGCACCUACCGAUUGAAUGGUCCGGUGAAGCCUCCGGAUUGGCGCGCACCUCGGUGCCGCCGAGAAGUUGGCUAAACCUUACCAUUUAGAGGAAGGUGAAGUCGUAACA